UUGGACUUCCCGGCCUCCAAAACUGAGUGGAACUGGUGGCUUUAUAAGAAAAGGAAGAGAGACCUGAGUGAGCAUGCUCAGCCCCCUCGACAUGUGAUGUCCUUUGCCACCUCAGUACUCUGCAGAAUCCCCGCCGGCAAGAAGUCCCUGACCAGAUGCAGCCCCUCAACCUUGGACGUUUCAGCCUCCACAACUGUACUUCUGUCAAGUCCAAAUCAAGCAGAAUGGGUUCCAACCAGCAGCAGGGUUUUCACUUGUAAGCAAACCACAGAAGGGAUCAGCCACCAACCCAACAGAUGAACAACUUGACUUGCUUUCCAAUGGAGCCCAGCAUUUGAAGCUGUGAUAAUUGUCAGUUUAAAUGUUAGCUGUCUAUGUCCUCCAACAGCUCAGAGACUCAGAGUUGAUGCGCUGGAUUCUACUGCAAGUUGCGUCUUGAUAAACAUAGUUACUAUGUGAGCCAGCAAAUUCCAUUUCUAGAUAUAUACCCAAGAGAAAUAAAAACUCAUGUUCACAGGAA
Molecule: long non-coding RNA, 520 nt
Organism: Homo sapiens (human)
Lineage: Eukaryota; Metazoa; Chordata; Mammalia; Primates; Hominidae
Product: long intergenic non-protein coding RNA 2927
Source: Ensembl